This 438-nucleotide ribosomal RNA is filed under the name Cryptothele sp. MR663. Its description in RNAcentral is "partial 16S ribosomal RNA". The record is from RNAcentral. Lineage: Eukaryota; Metazoa; Arthropoda; Arachnida; Araneae; Zodariidae.
CUCUAAUCGUAUUCAUUAUUAGUAAAAUCUGCUCAAUGACUCUUAAAUAGCCGCAGACCAUCUGUGCUAAGGUAGCAUAAUCAUUUGUCUUUUAAUUCAAGACUAGAAUGAAAGAUAUUAUAUUUUGAUUAUUUUUUUAAUCUUAUUAUUUUUAAUUUAUCUUAAGUAUAAAAAGAUACUUAUUUAAAAGAAAGACGACAAGACCCUAUUGAACUUAACUUUAGUUAAACUGGGGUAGUUAAUUAAAUAUAAUUUUAAUAAUCAUUCAUAUGAAACCUAAUAUAAUUAACAUACAAUCAAGUUACCAUAGGGAUAACAGCGCAAUAAUUUUUUAUAGUUCUCAUUCAUAAAAAAGAUUACGACCUCGAUGUUGAAUAUUAACCUAAUAUAAGUAAAAAUAUAAUUAAAGGAAGUCUGUUCGACUUUUAAAUAUUUACA